This 497-nucleotide ribosomal RNA is filed under the name uncultured bacterium. RNAcentral's name for it is "partial 16S ribosomal RNA". It matches the Rfam family "Bacterial small subunit ribosomal RNA", at positions 28 to 507 of the family's 1533-position model. The record is from RNAcentral.
GAUGAACGCUGGCGGCGUGCCUAAUACAUGCAAGUCGAGCGAACGGACGAGAAGCUUGCUUUUCUGAUGUUAGCGGCGGACGGGUGAGUAACACGUGGAUAACCUACCUAUAAGACUGGGAUAACUUCGGGAAACCGGAGCUAAUACCGGAUAAUAUUUUGAACCGCAUGGUUCAAAAGUGAAAGACGGUCUUGCUGUCACUUAUAGAUGGAUCCGCGCUGCAUUAGCUAGUUGGUAAGGUAACGGCUUACCAAGGCAACGAUGCAUAGCCGACCUGAGAGGGUGAUCGGCCACACUGGAACUGAGACAACGGCCAGACUCCUACGGGAGGCAGCAGUAGGGAAUCUUCCGCAAUGGGCGAAAGCCUGACGGAGCAACGCCGCGUGAGUGAUGAAGGUCUUCGGAUCGUAAAACUCUGUUAUUAGGGAAGAACAUAUGUGUAAGUAACUGUGCACAUCUUGACGGUACCUAAUCAGAAAGCCACGGCUAGCUACGUG